UCUGGCUCAGGACGAACGCUGGCGGCGUGCUUAACACAUGCAAGUCGAGCGGAGAAUAUAGCAAUAUAUUCUCAGCGGCGGACGGGUGAGUAACGCGUGGGCAAUCUGCCUCAUACAGGGGGAUAACACUGGGAACUAGUGCUAAUACCGCAUAAAAUAGUGAAGUGGCAUCACUUUACUAUCAAAAGGAGCAAUCCGGUGUGAGAUGAGCCCGCGUCCGAUUAGCUAGUUGGAGGGUAACGGCCCACCAAGGCGACGAUCGGUAGCCGAACUGAGAGGUUGAUCGGCCACAUUGGGACUGAGACACGGCCCAGACUCCUACGGGAGGCAGCAGUGGGGAAUAUUGCGCAAAUGGGGGAAACCCUGACGCAGCAACGCCGCGUGAAGGAUGAAGGUUUUCGGAUUGUAAACUUCUUUGAUUGGGGACGAUAAUGACGGUACCCAAAAAACAAGCCACGGCUAACUACGUGCCAGCAGCGGC
Molecule: ribosomal RNA, 481 nt
Filed under: uncultured bacterium
Lineage: Bacteria
Description: bacterial SSU rRNA
Rfam family: Bacterial small subunit ribosomal RNA
Source: RNAcentral